CACCCCGCGCUGCCUGCGCCAGCUGACUGUUGUCCUUCCCGCGCUCAGCGGGCCAGACUUGGACCCUUGUCCUUCUCUCGCGUCGCCAGCGCCUGGCUCAGGUUUGGCCCUGGGAAGGCUCUCUGGAAACACCUGUGGCGCUAGAGCUUGGCGACGGGCGACGCGGAAGGGACCGCGCGCUUCAGGCCACCAUCCCUGCCUGCGCCCCAACCCGUGCCAGGCGCUGGGGGAACAAUGAUGAAUGCGGAGCCCGCCGGCUUCCAGCGCAGCUCUGCCUGCCGCGCCCAGCGCCGGCGUUCCCUGUCAGGGGUUUGAAAAUUACCACGAAACUGCUUUUGUUUUACAAAUGUUGGGCCUUUUACAGAACUCACCUCCUACCUUUCCAACAACUCUAAUAUAAGCUCCAGGAUGUCAGAAAUUUUUAUCAGAUUUAUUUCACUGCUCUACCAUCAAGGCCUAGAAGAAGACUCUUCAUAUAAUAUGACUUCAAUGAAUACCUGUUAAAUAAAGUCUUCUUUCUAGUUC
Molecule: long non-coding RNA, 525 nt
Organism: Panthera uncia (snow leopard)
Lineage: Eukaryota; Metazoa; Chordata; Mammalia; Carnivora; Felidae
Exons: 3
Source: RefSeq, a predicted model, not a curated record